GAUGAACGCUGGCGGUAUGCUUAACACAUGCAAGUCGGACGGACUCUUCGGAGUUAGUGGCGGACGGGUGAGUAACGCGUGAGAAUCUGGCUUUGGGUUCGGGACAACCACUGGAAACGGUGGCUAAUACCGGAUGUGCCGAGAGGUAAAAGAGAAAUUGCCUGAAGAUGAGCUCGCGUCUGAUUAGCUAGUUGGUGAGGUAAAGGCUCACCAAGGCAGCGAUCAGUAGCUGGUCUGAGAGGAUGACCAGCCACACUGGGACUGAGACACGGCCCAGACUCCUACGGGAGGCAGCAGUGGGGAAUUUUCCGCAAUGGGCGAAAGCCUGACGGAGCAAUACCGCGUGAGGGAAGAAGGCUCUUGGGUUGUAAACCUCUUUUCUUAGGGAAGAACAAAAUGACGGUACCUAAGGAAUCAGCAUCGGCUAACUCCGUG
RNAcentral lists this ribosomal RNA (435 nucleotides) under uncultured bacterium. RNAcentral describes it as "partial 16S ribosomal RNA". It matches the Rfam family "Bacterial small subunit ribosomal RNA", at positions 28 to 507 of the family's 1533-position model. The record is from RNAcentral.